UCGUUUAGACGACGAUGAGUGGCAGGUGGAGUGUGAUAGUCGUCAUCCUCAUCUGUGAGGUCGACGAUAUCCACCAUCGCCUACCUGCUUCGGUUUGCUCCCGGCAUUGGUCCGUCAGACAUGCUAAUCGUGGAUAUUGGCAGUCGACGAACCAUAACGGAGUGUAAAUCGGAGACGAGCGAGUGUUGAAGAGACUAGCGAGUGUUGAAGAAUUGAAGAGAAGAUAACGUCUGUUCUUUUAUAAGCAUGCAGGCGAUCUAUUGGGUAAUGAUGAUACCCUCGGCCUACUAUAUGUAGCCCAAAAUUAACAACAGUGACUCAGCCCAU
RNAcentral lists this long non-coding RNA (327 nucleotides) under Zostera marina. RNAcentral's name for it is "long non-coding RNA (ZMAR_LNC003305)". Lineage: Eukaryota; Viridiplantae; Streptophyta; Magnoliopsida; Alismatales; Zosteraceae. The record is from RNAcentral.